GCUUGUCUAGCUUAGUUGGCAGAGCGCAAGGCUCUUAACCUUAAGGUCGUGGUUUCGAGCCCCACCGUGAGCG
Molecule: non-coding RNA, 73 nt
Organism: Zea mays
Lineage: Eukaryota; Viridiplantae; Streptophyta; Magnoliopsida; Poales; Poaceae
Source: Rfam